This 72-nucleotide transfer RNA is filed under the name Camelus bactrianus (Bactrian camel). It matches the Rfam family "tRNA". From Rfam's summary of the family: Transfer RNA (tRNA) molecules are approximately 80 nucleotides in length. Their secondary structure includes four short double-helical elements and three loops (D, anti-codon, and T loops). RNAcentral also lists the same sequence under 1 other name. The record is from Rfam by way of RNAcentral. Lineage: Eukaryota; Metazoa; Chordata; Mammalia; Artiodactyla; Camelidae.
GAGGGUGUAGCUCAGUGGUAGAGCACAUGCUUAGCAUGCAUGAGGUCCUGGGUUUAAUCCCCAAUACUUCCA